CUGCGGGUUCGAGCCCCGUCAGUCCCG
This 27-nucleotide transfer RNA is filed under the name Iris germanica (flag). Its description in RNAcentral is "partial tRNA-Asp". Lineage: Eukaryota; Viridiplantae; Streptophyta; Magnoliopsida; Asparagales; Iridaceae. The record is from RNAcentral. RNAcentral also lists the same sequence under 5 other names.